ACGGCCGUACCAUGCUGAAUACACCGGUUCUCGUUCGAUCACCGAAGUUAAGCAUUUCCGGUCUUGGGUGGGUGACCACCUAGGAACACUGCGUGCCGUU
Molecule: non-coding RNA, 100 nt
Organism: Caerostris darwini
Lineage: Eukaryota; Metazoa; Arthropoda; Arachnida; Araneae; Araneidae
Source: the annotation of a GenBank genome assembly